GGUCUGGUCUGAGUGCAGUGGUGUUUACAACUGAUCAAUGACAACCAGUUAUAGAUUCCUUUGUACCUUCUCCACUCCCAGUGCUUCACUUGACUAACCUAAA
Molecule: Y RNA, 103 nt
Filed under: Prolemur simus (greater bamboo lemur)
Lineage: Eukaryota; Metazoa; Chordata; Mammalia; Primates; Lemuridae
Description: Y RNA (ENSPSMG00000007897.1)
Rfam family: Y RNA
About the family: Y RNAs are components of the Ro ribonucleoprotein particle (Ro RNP), in association with Ro60 and La proteins. The Y RNAs and Ro60 and La proteins are well conserved, but the function of the Ro RNP is not known.
Source: Rfam by way of RNAcentral